Cololabis saira (Pacific saury) is the source of this 822-nucleotide long non-coding RNA. RefSeq lists it as uncharacterized. Lineage: Eukaryota; Metazoa; Chordata; Actinopteri; Beloniformes; Belonidae. The record is from RefSeq and is a predicted model, not a curated record. The transcript is spliced from 3 exons.
UAGACGAGUCUCAAAAAGACCUCAACAUGGCCCAGAAGAGGACAACAAAACUGAUGGCAGAUGAACCUGACUUCCUGCAGUUCAACGAUUUGACCUGUGAGACAGUUGGAGGGAAAGCACCUAAGGAUGAGGAGGAUAUCUAUGUCAACAGAAAAAGCUACCAUUAAAUAAAUGUGCAAGUCAUCUGUGAUGCAACACUGCGCGUCACCAACCUUGAAGCUAAGUGGCCAGGACAAACCCAUGAUUCCUUCAUCCUGAUGAAUUCGGGAAUAGGCAUAAAAUUCAGCGAUGGAGAAAUGCCAGAUGGCUGGUUGUUAGGUGAUAGUGGCUAUGGCCUUCGACCCUGGCUGAUGACACCACUCCUUCACCCAGGAACACUGGCAGAGAGGCGCUACACAAGUGCACAAACAAAGACCCGCAAUAUUGUGGAGCGAUGCAUCGGUGUAGUGAAGUCUCGCUUCAGAUGCAUCGACCGUUCUGGAGGAGUGCUGCAGUACACACCUGAAAAAGCCUGUAAAAUCAUCACCUCAGCCUUCAUACUACACAACAUCUGCCAGAUGUAUCGCCUGCCAGUACCCAACAUCCCUGACGACCGCCCUGAGGAAGAUGGACAUGACCACCCUGCCCCAUGCGAGACUGGCAUCCAAGCUAGAAAUGACCUCAUUAGAAGGAGGUUCACCCAAGCAAAUUAAAGCAAAAUCUACUACACAAAAUGUAAAAUCACAAUGUAUAUAAAUAUCCCAUUUGAUUUGUUAGCAGUAUAAAAAAUGUUGUAGUUAGCAUAGUAAUAUUAUACCAUAGUAAUAUUUCAAAGAAUAUAAA